CCUACGGGACGCAGCAGUGAGGAAUAUUGGUCAAUGGGCGCGAGCCUGAACCAGCCAAGUCGCGUGAGGGAAGACGGUCCUAUGGAUUGUAAACCUCUUUUGUCGGGGAGCAAAAGACGCCACGCGUGGCGUUCCGAGAGUACCCGAAGAAACAGCAUCGGCUAACUCCGUGCCAGCAGCCGCGGUAAUACGGAGGAUGCGAGCGUUAUCCGGAUUUAUUGGGUUUAAAGGGUGCGCAGGCGGAAGAUCGAGUCAGCGGUAAAAUUGAGAGGCUCAACCUCUUCGAGCCGUUGAAACUGGUUGUCUUGAGUGAGUGAGAAGUAUGCGGAAUGCGUGGUGUAGCGGUGAAAUGCAUAGAUAUCACGCAGAACUCCGAUUGCGAAGGCAGCAUACCGGCGCUCAACUGACGCUCAUGCACGAAAGUGGGGGUAUCGAACAGGAUUAGAUACCCUUGUAGUC
Molecule: ribosomal RNA, 459 nt
Filed under: uncultured bacterium
Lineage: Bacteria
Description: partial 16S ribosomal RNA
Rfam family: Bacterial small subunit ribosomal RNA
Source: RNAcentral